CUGAGGUAUUUUCAGGAUAGCCUCAGC
This 27-nucleotide non-coding RNA is filed under the name Homo sapiens (human). The record is from RNAcentral. Lineage: Eukaryota; Metazoa; Chordata; Mammalia; Primates; Hominidae.